This 275-nucleotide ribosomal RNA is filed under the name uncultured bacterium. RNAcentral's name for it is "partial 16S ribosomal RNA". It matches the Rfam family "Bacterial small subunit ribosomal RNA", at positions 79 to 353 of the family's 1533-position model. The record is from RNAcentral.
CUAAGUUUGAUGGCGACCGGCGCACGGGUGAGUAACACGUAUCCAACCUGCCGAUAACUCCGGAAUAGCCUUUCGAAAGAAAGAUUAAUACCCGAUGGCAUAGUUCUUCCGCAUGGUGGAACUAUUAAAGAAUUUCGGUCAUCGAUGGGGAUGCGUUCCAUUAGGUUGUUGGCGGGGUAACGGCCCACCAAGCCUUCGAUGGAUAGGGGUUCUGAGAGGAAGGUCCCCCACAUUGGAACUGAGACACGGUCCAAACUCCUACGGGAGGCAGCAUG